GACGAACGCUGGCGGCGUGCUUAACACAUGCAAGUCGAGCGGUAAGGCCCUUUCGGGGGGUACACGAGCGGCGAACGGGUGAGUAACACGUGGGUGACCUGCCCUCAGCUCUGGGAUAAGCCUGGGAAACUGGGUCUAAUACUGGAUAUGACUCCACGGUGCAUGUCGUGGGGUGGAAAGCCUUGUGCGGCUGAGGAUGGGCCCGCGGCCUAUCAGCUUGUUGGUGGGGUGAUGGCCUACCAAGGCGACGACGGGUAGCCGGCCUGAGAGGGCGACCGGGCCACACUGGGACUGAGACACGGCCCAGACUCCUACGGGAGGCAGCAGUGGGGAAUCUUGCGCAAUGGGCGAAAGCCUGACGCAGCGACGCCGCGUGAGGGAUGACGGCC
This 389-nucleotide ribosomal RNA is filed under the name uncultured bacterium. Its description in RNAcentral is "bacterial SSU rRNA". It matches the Rfam family "Bacterial small subunit ribosomal RNA", at positions 28 to 416 of the family's 1533-position model. The record is from RNAcentral.